This 507-nucleotide ribosomal RNA is filed under the name uncultured bacterium. RNAcentral describes it as "bacterial SSU rRNA". It matches the Rfam family "Bacterial small subunit ribosomal RNA", at positions 1 to 507 of the family's 1533-position model. The record is from RNAcentral.
CGACGAGUUUGAUCAUGGCUCAGAUUGAACGCUGGCGGCAUGCUUUACACAUGCAAGUCGAACGGUAACGGGGACUUCGGUCUGCCGACGAGUGGCGAACGGGUGAGUAAUAUAUCGGAACGUGCCCAGUAAUGGGGGAUAGCUCGGCGAAAGCCGGAUUAAUACCGCAUACGCCCUGAGGGGGAAAGUGGGGGAUCUUCGGACCUCACGUUAUUGAAGCGGCCGAUAUCAGAUUAGCUAGUUGGUGGGGUAAAGGCCUACCAAGGCGACGAUCUGUAGCUGGUCUGAGAGGAUGAUCAGCCACACUGGGACUGAGACACGGCCCAGACUCCUACGGGAGGCAGCAGUGGGGAAUUUUGGACAAUGGGCGAAAGCCUGAUCCAGCCAUGCCGCGUGAGUGAAGAAGGCCUUCGAGUUGUAAAGCUCUUUCAGGUGGAAAGAAAGCGGAUGGGUUAAUACCCUGUCCGGAUGACGGUACCACCAGAAGAAGCACCGGCUAACUACGUG